UAAGUGCUGUGAAGAGUGAAGACAAGUCUUCUAACAGGUUGGAAGAAUAUCAUAUAUGAUGUUUACCAUCAUUUGAAGAGUCAUUAACCAAUUUAAAAUAAUACCUUAAAAGAUCCAAUCUUUGUUAUGUCUUUGUAAAGCUACUUAUUUCAUUAUAGUUACUUAUAUUUCAUUGAGCAUGCUUACGUUGUUUGUCUUUUUUCCUUUGAGGUUUUGCCAAAUCUACUUAUGCCCUGUCCUCCUAUUCUAUACAGCUCUUGAGAAAGGAUUUUGCAAACCCUUUAGAGUUGGUGUCCAGGUUUCGUUUAAGUAUCCAACAAUUAACAUCCAAAAAUCAUGACACGUGGAAAUGUGUUCAAAUAAAAGAAAUAACAUUUUAACAUAUUGAUUAUUAGUCAUAAUUAGCAAUCCUAGUACCAUCACUGUAUGGCCAGCCUAAUAUUCUCAUUUGCAAAUAGUUCCAUCAAGAGCUACCUCCAUUGUUAUUGCAAGUUCUCCCAACCCUUUCUCAAACUUCCACUCGUGUUACCUUAGGUCUGUCUAUUGUACUGGACUAAGAUAAUUAUUCAACAAUAGUUUUUGUUCAAUACAAAUUGCAUUUAUGCCAGAGGGCAACACUUUUGGCUGACAUCUGUUUAGCACUCAAAGUACCAUGCAAUGUCAUAUAAUGUCCCACUGUAUCCAUAUACCACAGGUGAUAGUACUUGAAAAUUCCUAAAUUUUGAGGUUUGCAAGAACCUUGUCUAGAGUACUGCUAUGAACACAGUCAUGUAGGUUUUUCCAGUUUUAGGGAUGCAAAUCCAAGCAGCAUAGAUUUCAUACAUAUGUAAAAUCAAAGUGAUAUGCAAGAAGGAACUUCAUAACUUGAUGUUAGAAAGCUUAAUGGUUUUUUUUUGAUAGGAUAAGCUUAAUGAUUUAUCAUUGCUAUUAUUAUAUAUGCAAUGCAUAUAUGUAAAAUUGCAUGGUUUAUAUCAUGUUAAAAAAUUCCAAUGAUCCAUUCACCAAUGACAUAAUAGACAAAAUAAUUGAGAGAUUACUAUGAUCCAUUCACCUAUCAACACUCCAUAACAAGAAAAUCCACUAUCAAAGAUAAAAAGCUAUACUAAAAAAUAGUUCAACACCAACCAUCCUAAGCCUUGGAUAAGUCACAACCCCAAAUUCUCAAUCUUCUAGAGGAUAGCCAAGCUUAAGCAAUAUCCUAACCUUUUUUUCUUUUUACCAAAGAGGUGAAAAUUGUCAUAAUUCAUAAUCAACAUUAUAUCAUAAAAAUGGCUUCCAAUCUCUACACCUGGUUUCCAGAUAUCUUCAUCUCUAGCCAAAUACUAUAAGGACAGGAACUUUGCACUGCACAACACUUAAGCCCCAUGCGAAUUCCAACCUUGGUACAGAUAGAUGAGAAAUCUUUCCCGAAUGGAAAACAAAUACAGACAGUAUUACUCAGUGGAGAAUUGGUUUCUUAAGUGUCGUGUACUUGAAAUGUCCAUGUCAUUGAUUUUAUUGAUAAGCAAUAAUGGAGACACUUAGCAUCAAAUUGAAGGCCAAGUACAGCAAAUAGUGAAAACACAUGCUUCAAAGAACAUAGAAUUUCAAGCUAAGUGCUGUGAAGAGUGAAGACAAGUCUUCUAACAGGUUGGAAGAAUAUCAUAUAUGAUGUUUACCAUCAUUUGAAGAGUCAUUAACCAAUUUAAAAUAAUACCUUAAAAGAUCCAAACUUUGUUAUGUCUUUGUAAAGCUACUUAUUUCAUUAUAGUUACUUAUAUUUCAUUGAGCAUGCUUACGUUGUUUGUCUUUUUUCCUUUGAGGUUUUGCCAAAUCUACUUAUGCCCUGUCCUCCUAUUCUAUACAGCUCUUGAGAAAGGAUUUUGCAAACCCUUUAGAGUUGGUGUCCAGGUUUCGUUUAAGUAUCCAACAAUUAACAUCCAAAAAUCAUGACACGUGGAAACGUGUUCAAAUAAAAGAAAUAACAUUUUAACAUAUUGAUUAUUAGUCAUAAUUAGCAAUCCUAGUACCAUCACUGUAUGGCCAGCCUAAUAUUCUCAUUUGCAAAUAGUUCCAUCAAGAGCUACCUCCAUUGUUAUUGCAAGUUCUCCCAACCCUUUCUCAAACUUCCACUCGUGUUACCUUAGGUCUGUCUAUUGUACUGGACUAAGAUAAUUAUUCAACAAUAGUUUUUGUUCAAUACAAAUUGCAUUUAUGCCAGAGGGCAACACUUUUGGCUGACAUCUGUUUAGCACUCAAAGUACCAUGCAAUGUCAUAUAAUGUCCCACUGUAUCCAUAUACCACAGGUGAUAGUACUUGAAAAUUCCUAAAUUUUGAGGUUUGCAAGAACCUUGUCUAGAGUACUGCUAUGAACACAGUCAUGUAGGUUUUUCCAGUUUUAGGGAUGCAAAUCCAAGCAGCAUAGAUUUCAUACAUAUGUAAAAUCAAAGUGAUAUGCAAGAAGGAACUUCAUAACUUGAUGUUAGAAAGCUUAAUGGUUUUUUUUUGAUAGGAUAAGCUUAAUGAUUUAUCAUUGCUAUUAUUAUAUAUGCAAUGCAUAUAUGUAAAAUUGCAUGGUUUAUAUCAUGUUAUGCACUAUAUAUUAGGUUUCAAAGUUUUCAAUUGUAUAUUAACAUUGUCAAGAUGUAUACUGAUCCAUGAAGAGUAUUAGUUGCUAUUCCUAGUUACAUAGUAAAAUUUCAAGUUCUUUAUUCAUGAAUUUCGAAAAUAUCAAUACUAAUUAAAGCUGAUUCCUUGUUUAAAAAAAAAUAACAUGCUCAGAUCAAUCUUUGGUUUCUCUUGCCUUUACUAUAAGGUGCUUCAUCUCUUCAUGACAUUAGUGACCUACUUGUUUUUAGUUCAUUCACAUUUGAUUCAAAAUCUAUAUUGUGACAGCGUAUUUUAUUAAAAACAAAUUGUUUUUGCCUUUGGCAGAACUACCACAUCCAACUAAUGAACCAAUAUGUGUGUGUGUCCUACUUGUUUUUAGUUCAUUCACAUUUGAUUUAAAAAUCUAUAUUGUGACAGUGUACUUUAUUAAAAACAAAUUGUUUUUGCUUUUGGCAGAACUGCCACAUCCAGUGUGUGCAUGCGUGCGUGCGGGCGGGCAGGUGCAUGCAUGUGUGUGUGUAUGUAUGUAACACUAAAACAUAGGCACAUUGCAUUCAUGAUUUGGGGUCAGCAUAAGAAAAGAGUCGAGGGGUUACAUUACCAUGUGCCACUUUGUCACUUCCAAGGUUAAGCAACAUCCUUUUAGAAAGAGUAAUCCUAACCCAUUUAAUUACACACAAAUAGAUAGAUAGACAGAUAGAUAUAGACACAUAUAAGAAUACACCAUGAGUUUGUCAAGCGAGAGUACAAGACAACACUUUAAGCUUUCAGCAUCAUAUGGACAUUUAGAUAUUUGAGAGAAGGCACACAUAUUACUUAUGCUCUUAAGUAAAAACCAUUCAAUUAGUUGUUUCAAAUUAAACUCAUAAAUGCUUUCAAAAAGUUAACUCUGACCUAGGAGGAAGUCUUAGUUGUCUUUAGCAUCUCCAUUCUUUUGUUCUGUGCAAGUAUUAGGCCAAAAAUCAAAGAAUAUAUUUUUUAGGCUGCCUCGUAGAGGCAAGGCAUAUGGUACUAGAAUCUUACUACACCUUAUAUUGUAUCAUGCACCGUAUGGUUCACUCAGAAAACAAAAGUACAAUGUCAUGCUGAUCUAUACCUAAGGAUGCACCUAAGCCAAGAUCUAUCAAUCCGGGCUACAGCUUGGCGGAAAAUUUACUUUGAACUUAAAGUUUGGUAUGAAGCUUAGCCUGUUCUUUAGCAAAUGGAACAUAUUCAAACCAAGCCAGACACAAGCUAUUUUCAUUAGCUCGAUGACCUUAUAUUGUAUCAAGUUGGGAUCAAGCAUGAUCAAAGCUUUGGUUGAACUUGAUUUAAAGCUCAAUAUGAUCUUAAAAUAAAGUUCAACCUGAUUAAAAAAGCAUGAGACACAUUCAAAAAGUAUAAAUUAUUAAUUAAAGUUUAGCAAUUAAUGUAAUCUAUAAAUUAAACACUAAAUAAUGAACCACACAUUUAAAAAAGAAAACCAUAUUAUCAAACACAUUACCACAACAUGAAACAUAAUGUUUUAACUAGACAGAUGGGUAAGGGGCAAGAGAAGAGAGGCAGACACAUAGGAAUUGACAUCCUCACCU
Molecule: long non-coding RNA, 4161 nt
Filed under: Phoenix dactylifera (date palm)
Lineage: Eukaryota; Viridiplantae; Streptophyta; Magnoliopsida; Arecales; Arecaceae
Description: long non-coding RNA (PDAC_LNC002672)
Source: RNAcentral